Carcharodon carcharias (great white shark) is the source of this 65-nucleotide small nuclear RNA. RefSeq annotates it as U7 small nuclear RNA. The record is from RefSeq and is a predicted model, not a curated record. NCBI's taxonomy places the organism in Eukaryota, Metazoa, Chordata, Chondrichthyes, Lamniformes, Lamnidae. The transcript has a single exon.
UAGAGGUUAUAGCUCUUUUGCUACUUGUCCAGAAGGUUCUGGCUCUUUCAGCUAGAAAUGCCCCU